GAUCCUGGCUCAGAAUCAACGCUGGCGGCGCGCUUAACACAUGCAAGUCGCACGAGAAAGGGGAGCAAUCCCUGAGUACAGUGGCGCACGGGUGAGUAACACGUGGGUAAUCCACCCUUUAGUGGGGAAUAACCCUGGGAAACCGGGGCUAAUACCGCAUAAGCCUGAGAAGGGAAAGCAGCAAUGCGCUGAAGGAGGAGCUCGCGGCCGAUUAGCUAGUUGGUGGGGUAACGGCUCACCAAGGCGACGAUCGGUAGCCGGCCUGAGAGGGCACACGGCCACACUGGCACUGAAACACGGGCCAGACUCCUACGGGAGGCAGCAGUGGGGAAUCUUGCACAAUGGGGGAAACCCUGAUGCAGCGACGCCGCGUGAGCGAUGAAGCCCUUCGGGGUGUAAAGCUCUUUCGACGGGAACGAUAAUGACGGUACCCGGAGAAGAAGCUGCGGCUAACUACGUGCCAGCAGCCGCGGUAAUACGUAGGCAGCAAGCGUUGUUCGGAAUUACUGGGCGUAAAGAGUGUGUAGGCGGUGCUCUAAGUUCGGUGUGAAAUCUCCCGGCUCAACUGGGAGGGUGCGCCGGAAACUGGAGUGCUGGAGCGCGGGAGAGGAAAGCGGAAUUCCUGGUGUAGCGGUGAAAUGCGUAGAUAUCAGGAGGAAACACCGGCGGUGUAGACGGCUUUCUGGACCC
This 690-nucleotide ribosomal RNA is filed under the name uncultured Acidobacteriota bacterium. Its description in RNAcentral is "bacterial SSU rRNA". It matches the Rfam family "Bacterial small subunit ribosomal RNA", at positions 15 to 736 of the family's 1533-position model. The record is from RNAcentral. Lineage: Bacteria; Pseudomonadati; Acidobacteriota.